RNAcentral lists this ribosomal RNA (446 nucleotides) under uncultured bacterium. RNAcentral's name for it is "bacterial SSU rRNA". It matches the Rfam family "Bacterial small subunit ribosomal RNA", at positions 28 to 480 of the family's 1533-position model. The record is from RNAcentral.
GACGAACGCUGGCGGCGUGCCUAACACAUGCAAGUCGAACGGAGAUAUUUAGAAGCUUGCUUUUGGAUAUCUUAGUGGCGGACGGGCGAGUAACGCGUGAGCAACCUGUCCUUCAGAGGGGGACAACGGCUGGAAACGGCCGCUAAUACCGCAUGACAUAUCCGGACGGCAUCGUCUGGGUAUCAAAGGAGAAAUCCGCUGAAGGGUGGGCUCGCGUCCGAUUAGCUAGUUGGUGAGGUAACGGCUCACCAAGGCGACGAUCGGUAGCCGAACUGAGAGGUUGAUCGGCCGCAUUGGGACUGAGACACGGGCCCAGACUCCUACGGGAGGCAGCAGUGAGGGAUAUUGGGCAAUGGGGGAAACCCUGACCCAGCAACGCCGCGUGAGGGAAGACGGUCUUCGGAUUGUAAACCUAAGUAGUCAGGGACGAAGAAAUGACGGUACCU